GAAACAUCCUCAUCUUUGAUAUUCCGUCAGAAAUACCCUUGAUUUUCUUUAUCAGUUCAUUACAACAUCAGGUAUGAUUCUCGCUCAUCCUGUGCUCAAACUUUCUUCUCUUUUUUUUUUUUUUUAACAUAUCUCUGUACAUUUAUAGUUUGUCUGACAAUACAAUUCGAAAAAAAAUUCUUUAUUUUCAUAAUCCAUCAAUUUCUAGCAAUGAAGCUCUAGAAGUAUCAAUUUUCUAUCUCUUCUCUACCAAAAAUAUAAAGAACACGUGCAAGCAACUCUUCAUCUUCACAUCCUGAAUCUGAGCCCACUUGAUCGGAAUACACUGGGAUAUACAAGUUAUGCCUUGGAAUGAAAGACAUUUCCAAACCCACUUUGUCUACGAACAAGGAAGCUAUAAGUAAAGCAACUAUGAAUCUCAUGGAGAGUUCGAUCCUGGCUCAGGAUGAACGCUGGCAGCAUGCUUAAAACAUGCAAGUCGGACGGAAAACACAGAAAACGGUGUUUGCAAUAACGAACAGGUGAGUAAUGCGUAAGAACCUGCCCUUGGGAGGGGAACAACAACUGUAAACGGCUGCUAAUACCCCAUCGGCUGAGCAACAAAAGGAGGAAUCCGCCGGAGGAGGGGCUCGGGGCUCGCGUCUGAUCCAACUGAACAGGAAAAUGUGAUUUAUUUAUCGGAAGCUGGGUUCAUGAUCCAAGUGGUCCAGUUUACACAAAUGCCACUUGUUAUUUAAUUGAAUCUCACCACAACUGUAUGAAAAAUGGAGACCUGAUACUGAAUAUCUUUACUGGAGAUGGAAUCCGAGAGACUGAGCUACCGAGAUUUAACCCCAAAAAAUUCCUCAAUUUGAUGUGAAACAAAUCUUUCACCUUCAUAGGCGAUUCAAUUAUGCGCAAUCAAGUGCAGUCAUUGCUUUGUAUUCUCUCACAGAUACAUUUCAAGCUCAAAAAGAGUUAUACUGGAACAAGGAAACUAGCUCCGUUACUGUUCUUUGUUUUCAUUUGUUUUGUUUUGUUUCAGUUUGUUGUUCUUCGUUGAUGGUUAGCUCAAAUGGUAACUACAAGCGUCAUCACUUAGUUGUUUUUUUCGUAACUACUUUCUAAUAUCAAUUAUGGCUCUUAAAUAGUCAAUGUGUCUAUUAGAUCAAAUAAAUUCAAGCUUCUUGUGUC
Long non-coding RNA from Capsicum annuum, 1173 nucleotides. RefSeq lists it as uncharacterized. The record is from RefSeq and is a predicted model, not a curated record. The transcript is spliced from 3 exons. Lineage: Eukaryota; Viridiplantae; Streptophyta; Magnoliopsida; Solanales; Solanaceae.